CCUACGGGCGGCAGUAGUGGGGAAUAUUGCACAAUGGGGGAAACCCUGAUGCAGCGACGCCGCGUGAGUGAAGAAGUAUUUCGGUACGUAAAGCUCUAUCAGCAGGGAAGAAAAUGACGGUACCUGACUAAGAAGCCCCGGCUAACUACGUGCCAGCAGCCGCGGUAAUACGUAGGGGGCAAGCGUUAUCCGGAUUUACUGGGUGUAAAGGGAGCGUAGACGGCAGCGCAAGUCUGGAGUGAAAUCCCAUGGCUUAACCAUGGAACUGCUUUGGAAACUGUGCAGCUAGAGUGCAGGAGAGGUAAGCGGAAUUCCUAGUGUAGCGGUGAAAUGCGUAGAUAUUAGGAGGAACACCAGUGGCGAAGGCGGCUUACUGGACUGUAACUGACGUUGAGGCUCGAAAGCGUGGGGAGCAAACAGGAUUAGAUACCCCAGUAGUC
Molecule: ribosomal RNA, 440 nt
Filed under: uncultured bacterium
Lineage: Bacteria
Description: partial 16S ribosomal RNA
Rfam family: Bacterial small subunit ribosomal RNA
Source: RNAcentral